UCCCUGGUGGUCCAGCGGUUAAGACUUUGCACUUCCACUGCAGGGGGUGUGGGUUUGAUCCCUGGUCUGGGAA
Molecule: transfer RNA, 73 nt
Filed under: Ovis aries (sheep)
Lineage: Eukaryota; Metazoa; Chordata; Mammalia; Artiodactyla; Bovidae
Rfam family: tRNA
About the family: Transfer RNA (tRNA) molecules are approximately 80 nucleotides in length. Their secondary structure includes four short double-helical elements and three loops (D, anti-codon, and T loops). Further hydrogen bonds mediate the characteristic L-shaped molecular structure. tRNAs have two regions of fundamental functional importance: the anti-codon, which is responsible for specific mRNA codon recognition, and the 3' end, to which the tRNAs corresponding amino acid is attached (by aminoacyl-tRNA synthetases). tRNAs cope with the degeneracy of the genetic code in two manners: having more than one tRNA (with a specific anti-codon) for a particular amino acid; and 'wobble' base-pairing, i.e. permitting non-standard base-pairing at the 3rd anti-codon position.
Source: Rfam by way of RNAcentral